Molecule: microRNA precursor, 76 nt
Filed under: Myotis lucifugus (little brown bat)
Lineage: Eukaryota; Metazoa; Chordata; Mammalia; Chiroptera; Vespertilionidae
Description: mir-9229 microRNA precursor family
Rfam family: mir-9229 microRNA precursor family
Source: Rfam by way of RNAcentral
GAGACACCCUUCUGGGGCAAGACUUGAUUCAGUGGGGCUUUGGUGCUCACUGAGUCUGCCCCCUGAGUGUGUCCUU